Taeniopygia guttata (zebra finch) is the source of this 773-nucleotide long non-coding RNA. RefSeq lists it as uncharacterized. Lineage: Eukaryota; Metazoa; Chordata; Aves; Passeriformes; Estrildidae. The record is from RefSeq and is a predicted model, not a curated record.
CUCUAAUUGUAUCACUAUUUUUAUAACCAUUUCAUUAUUAUUAAACUUUUAAAAUUUCGAAAACCAAGUGAUUGGCAUUUUUCACAGAAGGAAAUGUGUUCGAGGAAGUAAAAGAUGGAAGUUUUGAUGUGAAUAAAUGCAUGAUAUUUGGUAGUAUGUUGACGAUAUGGAAAUAAGGGGUGGAAUGUCCCAGGGUGACAUUAUGGUGCUUGUAUCCCAAAUCGUGUGUUCUGUUUAUGUUUGAUGCUUUGUUCUGUGCCUUCCGGACUGGCACUGAAAAGUGAAGGUUUGUUUUGUCUUAGCAGCCGGCAGGGCUUGCUUGCUUGCUGGCUCUUUGCUCUCUCCCCUGCUUUUGCCCUUGCUCUUUUUCCUUUCCUUUUCAUGAAUACCAUUCAAACCUUCCCGGGCUGGGACCUGGGAAGCACCGAGAGACACCUGCCUGCAUUUUGUGACCUGCAGCAGCCAUCCCCAGUGUCAGAGACCGAGAACUGGGCGACUACUCCCAUGAGAGCUCCCAGAGGCGAAGAAGCGGAUACUUGGCACACAUAUCGGUGAGCGGCAGCCGCACGCAGCGAGCCGCCUGCUUCAGCCGAAAGACGCCGGGAACUGGCGCUUCCCUCCGGACAGCACCAGAGACCCGGAGCCGGCUUCUCUAGCGGACUGCAUCAUAGAGAAAAGCUUCUCCAGUGUAUCUUGCAGGGAGAAAGCUUGCCAGCACAGUGCACGCACCCCGCUCUCUCCCAGAAACAUGGAUUUGCUGAACACUCCAAAAA